Molecule: long non-coding RNA, 310 nt
Filed under: Lactuca sativa (garden lettuce)
Lineage: Eukaryota; Viridiplantae; Streptophyta; Magnoliopsida; Asterales; Asteraceae
Description: long non-coding RNA (LSAT_LNC002154)
Source: RNAcentral
GCCGGACCCACAGCUUCACUCCGUCAACGCCGCCGCCGACCGCAGCUAGCUUCAGGACGGCCAAGAGAAGAAAGGGCAUACCUCAUAGAGCCCCCAUGGGUGGACUAGUCAUAGAAUACUAAACCACCCAGUCAACCCCCCUACACUUCUACUUAAUUACCCAAUGCCCCCCCCUUAUACCUACUCUUUUCAAAACACACCCUCUUCCUAAUUUCCUAGCAUUAGUGCUUUUCACAAAGGCCGGUGUGACGAAAUUUACCAUUAUGUACAAAGACGCACCCUAUAGUUAAUAGUAAUAGUCUUGGAAUAG